GUACACUUGGGUGUGGAAAUCCCACUGAAAGGGCUCGGUCUUUGUCAGAUCGCUAUAGGCAAGGGAGGUUAGGGCAAAUCUUUGUGGUUCCACAUAACUCAGGUGCUCAUUGGAUGUUGACGGUUGUGAACCCAAAUGAAGAAGUCGUGCACUUCAUGGAUCCACUUAAAAGGCGACUCGAUACUGGGGAAUGGAAAUCUAUUGUCAACAACUCCAUUAAAAUCUAUAAUGC
Molecule: long non-coding RNA, 232 nt
Organism: Rosa chinensis
Lineage: Eukaryota; Viridiplantae; Streptophyta; Magnoliopsida; Rosales; Rosaceae
Exons: 3
Source: RefSeq, a predicted model, not a curated record